CAGCAGCCGCGGUAAUACGAAGGGUGCAAGCGUUAAUCGGAAUUACUGGGCGUAAAGCGUGCGUAGGCGGUGAGUUAAGUCUGCUGUGAAAUCCCCGGGCUCAACCUGGGAAUGGCAGUAGAUACUGGCAAGCUAGAGUGUGUCAGAGGAUGGUGGAAUUCCCGGUGUAGCGGUGAAAUGCGUAGAGAUCGGGAGGAACAUCAGUGGCGAAGGCGGCCAUCUGGGACAACACUGACGCUGAGGCACGAAAGCGUGGGGAGCAAACAGGAUUAGAUACCCCAGUAGUCCCUGUCUCUUAUAC
This 301-nucleotide ribosomal RNA is filed under the name uncultured bacterium. RNAcentral describes it as "partial 16S ribosomal RNA". It matches the Rfam family "Bacterial small subunit ribosomal RNA", at positions 509 to 807 of the family's 1533-position model. The record is from RNAcentral.